Molecule: unclassified non-coding RNA, 212 nt
Filed under: soil metagenome
Description: partial contains 5.8S ribosomal RNA, internal transcribed spacer 2, and large subunit ribosomal RNA
Source: RNAcentral
AACAAGGCGUACCUGCGGACCUGCGGAGGGAUCAUUACAAGUGACCCCGGUCUAACCACCGGGAUGUUCAUAACCCUUUGUUGUCCGACUCUGUUGCCUCCGGGGCGACCCUGCCUUCGGGCGGGGGCUCCGGGUGGACACUUCAAACUCUUGCGUAACUUUGUAGUCUGAGUAAACUUAAUUAAUAAAUUAAAACUUUUAACAACGGAUCU